AGUGAACGCUGGCGGUAGGCCUAACACAUGCAAGUCGAACGGCAGCACAGUAAGAGCUUGCUCUUACGGGUGGCGAGUGACGGACGGGUGAGGAAUACAUCGGAAUCUACUUUUUCGUGGGGGAUAACGUAGGGAAACUUACGCUAAUACCGCAUACGACCUACGGGUGAAAGCAGGGGAUCUUCGGACCUUGCGCGAUUGAAUGAGCCGAUGUCGGAUUAGCUAGUUGGCGGGGUAAAGGCCCACCAAGGCGACGAUCCGUAGCUGGUCUGAGAGGAUGAUCAGCCACACUGGAACUGAGACACGGUCCAGACUCCUACGGGAGGUAGCAGUGGGGAAUAUUGGACAAUGGGCGCAAGCCUGAUCCAGCCAUACCGCGUGGGUGAAGAAGGCCUUCGGGUUGUAAAGCCCUUUUGUUGGGAAAGAAAAGCAGCAGGUUAAUACCCCGCUGUUCUGACGGUACCCAAAGAAUAAGCACCGGCUAACUUCGUG
RNAcentral lists this ribosomal RNA (492 nucleotides) under uncultured bacterium. RNAcentral describes it as "partial 16S ribosomal RNA". It matches the Rfam family "Bacterial small subunit ribosomal RNA", at positions 29 to 507 of the family's 1533-position model. The record is from RNAcentral.